RNAcentral lists this unclassified non-coding RNA (195 nucleotides) under uncultured Hydnangiaceae. Its description in RNAcentral is "sequence contains ITS2". Lineage: Eukaryota; Fungi; Basidiomycota; Agaricomycetes; Agaricales. The record is from RNAcentral.
AAUUCUCAACCUUCCAGCUUUUAUUAGCUUGGUUAGGCUUGGAUGUGGGGGUUGUGGGCUUCAUUAUUGAGGUCGACUCUCCUUAAAUGCAUUAGCGGAACUUUUGUGGACCGUCUAUUGGUGUGAUAAUUAUCUACGCUGUGGAUGUGAAGCAGUUCAGCUUCUAACCGUCCAUUGACUUGGACAAUUUUGACA